Long non-coding RNA from Xyrauchen texanus (razorback sucker), 495 nucleotides. RefSeq lists it as uncharacterized. The transcript is spliced from 3 exons. The record is from RefSeq and is a predicted model, not a curated record. NCBI's taxonomy places the organism in Eukaryota, Metazoa, Chordata, Actinopteri, Cypriniformes, Catostomidae.
AUAUCUUCACAUUCACUUCUCACAAUUCAGAUUCAGUUCUCAAAUUCAAUUUCAAGUUACUGAGACAGACAUCCGGGUAGUUGGAGGAUGAAGGAAGAGCAAUCGAGCGCAGAUCGAUAGAUAGCGUUCAUUGGCGCACAGGACUCCUCUUGGGCCAAUCAGCACCAAUGUUUUGGAGCACAGUACGUUACCCGCCAUGAAACAAAGAAGAAGUGCUUGCCUGACUUGCGUGACCACCACCACCAUGGAUUCGGCUGGGACAAAUACGAUUCCUGCUGCUCCAGUAGCUCUGAUCGACUUCUCUGCUAAAGCCAAAAAAAAAAAGCUUGACCGUUCUAUUGAUGGCAGGACAACUGAAAACCAGUUAUGGAUGCAAACAUGAAGCACAAGCCAGAGGAGUCUAUGAGAAGCUGAUGGGUCGGGAGCAUGCAGGCUUCUCCUGUAUGGACAGUGGUCUCUGGCUGAACCCCAAGUGGCCAUACAUGGGGUCCUCCC